Bradysia coprophila is the source of this 267-nucleotide long non-coding RNA. The record is from RefSeq and is a predicted model, not a curated record. NCBI's taxonomy places the organism in Eukaryota, Metazoa, Arthropoda, Insecta, Diptera, Sciaridae.
GCUGUUGAGUGUUUCAGUUGUCCAUUUGGACGUUGUAUAGCUCGAUGCUAUUUCGUUUUGUUUUUAUCAGUUGAAAUUUUUGUUGAUGUCUAACGAAGUCUUCCGGUGACAAGAGUAAUUUAAAUGUCUUGCAUUAAAUGCGUUCAGAUUAUAUAACAAUCAUGAGAGCUUCUUGUCAACCGUAUGUUUAAUGACGUAGUAUGUAUACAUGUACGUACUGAAUGACCCUAUAGUUUUAUGAAUCUCUAUUGAUAAUGGCCCAGUUAA